GCGCCGGCUUCCAAAGCACAUAUACUAAAAUUGGAACGAUGCAGAGAAGAUUAGCAUGGCCCCUGCG
This 67-nucleotide small nuclear RNA is filed under the name Colobus angolensis palliatus. Lineage: Eukaryota; Metazoa; Chordata; Mammalia; Primates; Cercopithecidae. The record is from RNAcentral.